CUUAACACAUGCGAGUCGAACGAAGCACCUUGAUUUGAUUCUUCGGAUGAAGAUCUUGGUGACUGAGUGGCGGACGGGUGAGUAACGCGUGGGUAACCUGCCUCAUACAGGGGGAUAACAGUUAGAAAUGACUGCUAAUACCGCAUGAGACCACAGCACCGCAUGGUGCAGGGGUAAAAACUCCGGUGGUAUGAGAUGGACCCGCGUCUGAUUAGGUAGUUGGUGGGGUAACGGCCUACCAAGCCGACGAUCAGUAGCCGACCUGAGAGGGUGACCGGCCACAUUGGGACUGAGACACGGCCCAAACUCCUACGGGAGGCAGCAGUGGGGAAUAUUGCACAAUGGGGGAAACCCUGAUGCAGCGACGCCGCGUGAGCGAUGAAGUAUUUCGGUAUGUAAAGCUCUAUCAGCAGGGAAGAAAAUGACGGUACCUGACUAAGAAGCACCGGCUAAAUACGUGCCAGCAGCCGCGGUAAUACGUAUGGUGCAAGCGUUAUCCGGAUUUACUGGGUGUAAAGGGAGCGUAGACGGAGUGGCAAGUCUGAUGUGAAAACCCGGGGCUCAACCCCGGGACUGCAUUGGAAACUGUCAAUCUAGAGUACCGGAGAGGUAAGCGGAAUUCCUAGUGUAGCGGUGAAAUGCGUAGAUAUUAGGAGGAACACCAGUGGCGAAGGCGGCU
Molecule: ribosomal RNA, 679 nt
Filed under: uncultured Lachnospiraceae bacterium
Lineage: Bacteria; Bacillati; Bacillota; Clostridia; Lachnospirales; Lachnospiraceae
Description: bacterial SSU rRNA
Rfam family: Bacterial small subunit ribosomal RNA
Source: RNAcentral